UACUGUAGUGUGGGCACUUCCAGU
Molecule: microRNA, 24 nt
Filed under: Cavia porcellus (domestic guinea pig)
Lineage: Eukaryota; Metazoa; Chordata; Mammalia; Rodentia; Caviidae
Description: Cpo-Mir-17-P4c_3p* (star (passenger))
Source: RNAcentral